UCCCAAGCCAAAGCAAAGGACUGUUUUUA
RNAcentral lists this non-coding RNA (29 nucleotides) under Mus musculus (house mouse). Lineage: Eukaryota; Metazoa; Chordata; Mammalia; Rodentia; Muridae. The record is from RNAcentral.